Manis pentadactyla (Chinese pangolin) is the source of this 4193-nucleotide long non-coding RNA. RefSeq lists it as uncharacterized. The record is from RefSeq and is a predicted model, not a curated record. The transcript is spliced from 4 exons. NCBI's taxonomy places the organism in Eukaryota, Metazoa, Chordata, Mammalia, Pholidota, Manidae.
GGUUGCUUGGAGGCUGGCCGACCUGUUGCCACUCACAGGGCUGUAGGCAUUGGAGGUAGGAUUUGCAGUUCAAUCUUCUGACCCUGAUUCUCCUAUUUGUACUACUCUAGAGCUUUGCAUUAACUUCCUUGGAGGCCAGGAAGCUGAGUUUUCAUUCUUGGGGGUGCCUCGAGUACAGCUGAGCAUGCUCAUUCAUCCAGUGGAUGUGUCAAUGAAUGCCCUUCGUGGCUGUGCUGGGAGACAGGCAUAGAGCUGUGGGCCAGGUAGACACGGUCCUGCCCUUUGGAGCCCAGGUCCUGGUGGGAUCCCAGACCAGGAACUAGGCAAUGACCACAUCAAGGGAUGGAGGUGGGAGGGGGCUCUGCGACCCUGAGGAAGGGGCUUUUCAAGGAGGGCUUAUGCCUCUCAUGCCCGGUGUCAAGGCUAGCGAGAGGGACGACUCAGGCAGUGGGACCUGGGUGGAGGGGUGGGGUGUGAAGGUCAGAGAGAUCCCCUGGCAUUCUGGAGUGCUCACUGAUGCAGCCUUUGGGUCCGGACAGGCUCGAGCUGGGAUCCUAUCUGCUUGAUUCAAAUGCCCUGUGUCCUCAGGAAAGCUCUCUCACCUCUCUGCGUCGGUUUUCUCCUCUGUGAAUGGGCUUCAUGAUUCCUCCCUCCCAGGACCAAAUGAGGGAAGGGUAAGAUACACCACGGCCGGAGCCUGGUGUGUGGGAAGACCCGCAGAGCCACAGCUCUCGCUCCCGUUGUCACACCGCUGCUGUUGCUGUAACUGGGUCCUCAACAGGCCCCACUGGCGGGCCUCAGCCCCUCCUGCUUCCUCCUUCGACUCCCUUCCCCACACCACGGAGCGCUCCCUGAGCACAGAGACGCUGCUCUGUGCCUGCUGCGGCCUUGGGCCCAGUGGGGGCCAGGCGAAGAGUAAGGUGAGGGUGCAGGUCUUGACAAGACUUCUAGGGUCAGGCCUUACGCUUUCUGGGCCCAGCACAAAGUAGGCCUGAGCUUGAGGUGUGUUGCUUAAAAGAAUAUAUGAAACAAAUGAAAUAUAUAUCUUUAAAAACUUGCAAGGGAGCUCUCUGACCCUGUGGUAAAGUGGUGGUUCAGACUCUAGAACACACUGGAUGUCAUCAGCCCCCAGUGAUCUCUGCCUUCCAAUAUUUACCCGCUUUUGUCCCCCCCGUUCAAUCCGGGCUGGCCCUGGAACUCGCUUUAACCGAUAACAUAAGGCGGAGGGGAUGUGCCAUUUUCAGACCUAAGUCUUAAACAAAAGGGAGUUACUGAAUUCUGGGUCUUCCCUGGGGCUUGAUGGUUCUUGGUUAAGGCAGGACGGAUUAGCAGAUAUUAGGUGUUAAAUAAAGAUCUGUUAUCCCCAAGGAGAGACUUUCUCCUUGACUUAAUCAGAAGGAUGAGUGGGAAUCGAAAAGGGAAUGAUUCUCCCUAUUGGGUAAGAUCCAGAAAAGAAUGGCUUUCUCUCACUGUGAUUCACUGGCCCGGCCCUGACCUGAGCACUGCCCUUUGAGAAACCCAUGGUUUCCUGGCCAUUCUGUCCGGCCGUGGAGUGAUGCAUGCCUUCAGUAGUGGCUCCCCUUUGUGUCCUGGACUCCUAGGGCCCUGAGACGGACAGAGUGUGUCCCCCGUCUGACCUCUCCAUCUGGAACACCAUGCCUUCUGCAGGACUCAUGAUCAAGUGGCAGAGAACAGUAUUUAUGGCUUAGUGCCAGAUGGAGCUGGAAUGUCCUGUAGCGGAACGGAGUGGUUUCAGAGUGGGUGUCAGCUCUGUUCUCAUAAACCGGCAGCUGAGUAGCUGAUAAUGGCCAGCCCAGCACGUUUCAGGAACCUGACCAGCCCUGGUCCACGUUGACAUAGCUAUUUUGCUUUUACAGAAUCCCACAGGCUGAGAAGCUUAUAAACAGCAGAAAUAUGAUGCUCACGGAUCUGGAGGCUGCAAGUCCAAGAUCAGAGCGCCAACAUGGUUGGGGGUGAGGGCUCUUUUCUGGGUCACAGACUUCUCACUGUGUCUUCGCAUGGUGGGAGGGGCUGGAGGUCUCUCUGGAGUCUCUUUUAUAAGGUCACUAAUCUGACUCAUGAUUACUUCCCAAAAGCAACACCCUCAUGACCUAAUUACUUCCCAAAGGCCCCACCUCCAGAUACCAUCAUCUUUGGGGGUUAGGAUUUCAACAUAUGAAUUCUGGGGGUAACAUAGCACUCAGACCACAACAGUAUGUAAAGUGUGAGUAUAGCUCACUGACAGUGCUCUGUACACGUUAGCUAUUGUUAGUUUAGCUGUGUAGUUUGCUCUUGGCCAAAUCCAUGUUCCUCCUAGGCAAAUUUUCAUAUUAGCCAUCAGCCUCCCAAAUUUCUGCAUUCUGUGCAUUUGCUACUUCUACGAGGAGAAAGCAGACAUCCCUUUGGAAACUUCCAGAUGGGUUCUCACCAUCAUCAGAUCUGUAAGAUGGUUGGGCAGAGAGACUCGCAGACCCAUCAAGGACAGUAAAAGCCCCAAGAACCAACAAGCAGCUAGGCAAGUUGAGAAGAAUCCACAUUUGGGCCCAGGUGGCAGUUUUGAUAAGAAGUUAAGGAUGUACAGUGAAGAAAACACAGUUGGCUUUGGUUUAUGUCAUCUUACAAUUUCUCUGCUUUGGGAUUUCCUUCCUUUUCCCCUUUCUCUCACUUGAAGAGAACUAAAUUCUUAUAAUAAGCUCAAAAUGAGCUGGACAGUGCCUAUCCUGUCAUGUGCUGAGAGACGUCAUUUCCUAUACCAUCCUGUGGGCACAUCCUACGGCUCCGAAGCAUUGGACUAGCAGCUCAUCCCUUUGAAAGCCGACACGCAGGUUGUUUGCCAGUAGCUCCCCUUGGACCAGUCACAGCUCCAGCAAGAGCUGCAGCUCCUUGUCCCAGAAGCCAAGGUCAGUUCCAAUGACCGUUGAAAAUGGGACUCCUCAUCUCCAAAUUCCCGAAAGGCGGAACUGCCAGGCCAGUAGCCGUCUGCCAGUGAUGCUUUUUGCUGAGCCCAGAGAAAAAGCGUUUCAGGCGUGCAGAACACACCGGGAGAAUGGCCUGGUGCAGAGAGAAGCCACCGCUCCUGGUGGCCGCUGACCACACCUGGCUGCUGCCCAGCUCCGAGAGAGCAGGUGGGAGGACGCCCUGGUGGCAGGAACUUGCUGUGUCCACUCCUUCUGAGGCUGGGCUGACCCCACGGUAGCUCUCUGUUCGCUGCAUCUAAUCCAUCCUCACUCAGGUGUUUCCCACUCAGCCUUUGCUUCCCCUCACUCAGUGCAGCAACCCAGUUAAAAAAAAAAAGUGAUUCUUGGUGAAGGCAGCUGAAAAUAACAGCAGCCACCUUCUAGAUCAUAGACUCUGGGGCCCGGGGGCGAGGAGAAGGGGGAGAACUGUAGCUAUGACACUGGCUGUGGCAUCGCCAGUGCCUGACACAGUGGGUGAGGCACGGGAAGCCCUCAGCUCUGACUUGUGAAUGGAUGAGACAGAAUGACGGGUGUGUGGCGGAACUGAGGGCAGCUUCUAGAGUAAACAGGCAAAGAGGGAGGAGUGCGGAGCCUUCAUUUUUAGUAAGGAUAUGACCAGAAUAGAAGAAAUCCAAAAUGGAACAGAGAGCUACACUGAGUAUAUUUUCUGAUGGGAUCAAAAAUAUCAGCUUCCCCUGAAGGAAACCAGAAUCAUUUUUAGUUCCAACCGAAUUCUCUCCUGGAGGCUCAGCCCAGAAACAUAUUGCAUAAUGGAGUUUUCCAAGAAGAAUCUCCUGCCUUCUUGAAUGUAGCUCACAAUGGUCCCCAGACCAUACUCCCCAAGGGGGCAGGUGCUCAGCCCUGCCUAGUAUGGAGUACAGGGUGAUAGAGAGGAGGGAGUCACGCGCCAGGAGGUAAGGCUUCGGUAGGGUUCUCAGUGCCAGCUGGAGCCACGGCUAAUUGUUACGGGAAGUUGUUUUGGAAAGCACCCAAGUUCCCUGUCUGUUCCAGGCUCCCCACGCCUGAGAUGAGAGUCUGUGCCGGCUGCUGUCCCUGGGAACACACCCGCUGAGGACAUGGCCCAGCUUCUAGCAGGAGGCCCCCUAGAACAGCCUUCCAUGUCGGGUGGGCAUGUAGGCAGCCCCCGGGGGCUCGGGGGGCCUCCAAGUGAAGGGGUCGAAGCAUCUCAACCACCCCUGGGUCUGGCCUUCUUGUGUUCUACCAGGCGCUGGCUGG